GUUAAGGAACAUAGGUCGUGUAUCCCUCCGCCACUGCUAUUUCUGCGAUUUCUGCUACUUCCGCGAUUUCUGCUACUUCUGCGAUUUCUGCUACUUCUGCGAUUUCUGUGACUUCUGCUACUUCUGCGAUUUCUGUGAUUCCUGCGAUUUCUGCGACUUACCACCGUAUGAAAAAGUUACAUCUGUCAACACAGAAAAUUUCAUCUCAACAAACCUGUCAUUGGCAAGUACCUGAACUACAUUUCAGUCACUCAGUAAAGUGAUAACUCAAAAUAUCAUUGUCAACAGAUCUGAAGAAAUUGCCACUGCGUCUUUAGACCGUUUUCGUCAGACGAGAGACACAGUUCUGACUCUGAUUACUGGUUGCUGUACGUAUCUACCCACAUCAAGGCUGUUUUUGAGAGAGACUCGUGAAGUUUCAAGACAGCUCUUAGAGGAUUUGCAGUUUAAAAGUGAAAUAAUUGUGAAAUAAGUGUGUGAAUGAUUAA
Long non-coding RNA from Schistocerca cancellata (South American locust), 488 nucleotides. RefSeq lists it as uncharacterized. NCBI's taxonomy places the organism in Eukaryota, Metazoa, Arthropoda, Insecta, Orthoptera, Acrididae. The transcript has 3 exons. The record is from RefSeq and is a predicted model, not a curated record.